RNAcentral lists this ribosomal RNA (520 nucleotides) under Microhyla nilphamariensis. Its description in RNAcentral is "partial 16S ribosomal RNA". It matches the Rfam family "Bacterial large subunit ribosomal RNA", at positions 1856 to 2592 of the family's 2925-position model. The record is from RNAcentral. Lineage: Eukaryota; Metazoa; Chordata; Amphibia; Anura; Microhylidae.
AGCCUGCCCAGUGACUAAGUUAAACGGCCGCGGUACCCUAACCGUGCAAAGGUAGCGCAAUCACUUGUUCUUUAAAUGAGGACUAGUAUGAACGGCAUCACGAGGGUUAUACUGUCUCCCUAUUCCAUUCAGUGAAACUGAUCUUCCCGUGAAGAAGCGGGAAUAUAAAUAUAAGACGAGAAGACCCCAUGGAGCUUUAAACUCAGUGUCACCUGCCACUUUGAUACCCUCUUAACCACGCAGACAUGAUAACUAGUUUUCGGUUGGGGUGACCGCGGAGUAAAACAAAACCUCCACAACGAAAGGAACUAACAACCUAAUCCAAGAGCAACAUCUCUAAGAAUCAACAAAUUGACUUAAUUGAUCCAAUUACUUGAUCAACGAACCAAGUUACCCUGGGGAUAACAGCGCAAUCCAUUUCAAGAGCUCAUAUCGACAAAUGGGUUUACGACCUCGAUGUUGGAUCAGGGUAUCCCAGUGGCGCAGCAACUACUAACGGUUCGUUUGUUCAACGAUUAAA